GGAGGGAGCAAGCGUUGUUCGGAAUUACUGGGCGUAAAGGGCGCGUAGGCGGUUACGUAAGUCGAGUGUGAAAUUCCGGGGCUCAACCCCGCGAACUGCACCCGAUACUGCGUGACUAGAGAAAGGUAGGGGCAAGUGGAAUUCCCGGUGUAGCGGUGGAAUGCGUAGAUAUCGGGAAGAACACCCGUGGCGAAGGCGGCUUGCUGGACCUUUUCUGACGCUGUAGCGCGAAAGCGUGGGGAGCAAACAGGAUUAGAUACCCUGGGUAGUCCACGCCGUAAACGCUGGGUACUAGGUGUUGGGAGGAUUGACCCCUUUUCAGUGCCCGACGCUAACGCAUUAAGUACCCCGCCUGGGGAGUACGGUCGCAGGCUG
Molecule: ribosomal RNA, 375 nt
Filed under: uncultured organism
Description: partial 16S ribosomal RNA
Rfam family: Bacterial small subunit ribosomal RNA
Source: RNAcentral